CCUACGGGAGGCAGCAGUCGAGAAUCAUUCACAAUGGGGGAAACCCUGAUGGUGCGACACCGCGUGGGGGAAUGAAGGUCUUCGGAUUGUAAACCCCUGUCAUGUGGGAGCAAAUUAAAAAGAUAGUACCACGAGAGGAAGAGACGGCUAACUCUGUGCCAGCAGCCGCGGUAAUACAGAGGUCUCAAGCGUUGUUCGGAAUCACUGGGCGUAAAGCGUGCGUAGGCUGUUUCGUAAGUCGUGUGUGAAAGGUGCGGGCUCAACCCGCGGACGGCACAUGAUACUGCGAGACUAGAGUAAUGGAGGGGGAACCGGAAUUCUCGGUGUAGCAGUGAAAUGCGUAGAUAUCGAGAGGAACACUCGUGGCGAAGGCGGGUUCCUGGACAUUAACUGACGCUGAGGCACGAAGGCCAGGGGAGCGAAAGGGAUUAGAUACCCCGGUAGUC
Molecule: ribosomal RNA, 446 nt
Filed under: uncultured bacterium
Lineage: Bacteria
Description: partial 16S ribosomal RNA
Rfam family: Bacterial small subunit ribosomal RNA
Source: RNAcentral